AUUGAUAUUUAUCAUUGUAUAUACCAAGUUGAAAAACAUACAUUGAUUACGGAGUGGAGGAUGAACUUGAAGUCAAGCUGUUGCAAAAGAAGACUCAGAGAAACUUUUGAUGGCAGAACAUAACAUAAUGACACGUAGAUAGAUAAAAAGCAGAACUCUUUGCUAAAUACAACUCUGAAGACAGAAGACUGCUAGAUGGGGCCAUACGUGUAUUGCUCUGGGGGACAGAACAUUCUCAUCACCCCAGAAAGAAUUCUGUGUCCAUUUGACAUCAACCUUAGGCGACCAACCACUGACUCACUCCUUGUCUGAACUGAUCUGCCUUUUGUAGGUUUCAUAUCUGGCUUUGUAUCUGGAUUUUGUAUCUGGCUUUGAUGUAGCAUAAUGUUUUUGAGCUUCAUUUAUGGUAUUCCACUUAUCAGUAACUUAUUCUCUUCUAUUGAUGAAUAAAAUUUUGUUGCAUGGAUAUAUCAUAUUUUGUUUAUCCAUUCACCAACUGGUAGAAAUAUGGGGUGUUUCUAGUUUUGGGGUAUUAUGAGCAAGGUUGCCAUAAACAAAGCUUGUGUACAAUUAUUUAUGUGAGCAUAUGUAUUCAUUUCUCUUGAGUAGAUACCUAGGAGUAGAAUUACUUGGUCAUGAUAUACAUUUAUGUGCAACUUUUAAAGAAACUGUCAAACUCUUCUCCCAAGUGUUUACACCAUUUUACACUCCCACCAGCAAUAUAUGAAGGUUCUAACUUCUUCACAUUUUCAUCCACACUUGUUAUUGUCUAAUUUUUUUAUUAUAGCCAUUCUAGUGGGUGUGCAUGAGCAUUUACUCACAAUUAUUAACUUGAGAGUGUGUUUGCAAUGUAUCUUUACUCCAGAAGUCUUUUCUACUUCCUCAAAUAAAAAUAUUACCACUUAUCUUGUUUCCCAACCUCACAAGAAGCCAUUUUGUCCAUUUUCUUAGGAUUCAGGGAUCUGGGAAAUGAGAUUGUGCCUAUGCUCUUUCCAUUUAGUGUCCCAGGACAACUGAGGGGCAUUUUCCUGUUGAUUCCUUGGGUCUAGCUAGAAGGUCAUCAAUAGGUCAUAUGAUAGA
Molecule: long non-coding RNA, 1080 nt
Organism: Symphalangus syndactylus (siamang)
Lineage: Eukaryota; Metazoa; Chordata; Mammalia; Primates; Hylobatidae
Source: RefSeq, a predicted model, not a curated record